Molecule: unclassified non-coding RNA, 345 nt
Filed under: uncultured Phlebia
Lineage: Eukaryota; Fungi; Basidiomycota; Agaricomycetes; Corticiales; Corticiaceae
Description: sequence contains ITS1
Rfam family: 5.8S ribosomal RNA (bases 1-105)
Source: RNAcentral
GAAAUGCGAUAAGUAAUGUGAAUUGCAGAAUUCAGUGAAUCAUCGAAUCUUUGAACGCACCUUGCGCUCCUUGGUAUUCCGAGGAGCAUGCCUGUUUGAGUGUCAUGGUAUCAUCAACCUCCAUCACUUUUGUGAUGGAAGGCUUGGACUUGGAGGUUGUGUCGGUGCAUUCGCAUCGGCUCCUCUGAAAUGUAUUAGCGUGAAUCUUACGGAUCGCCUUCGGUGUGAUAAUUACUGCGCCGUGGAUGUGAAGUAUAACAGUGUUCGUGCUUACAAUCGUCUUGAAGAAAGACAACACUUUGACAAUCUGACCUCAAAUCAGGUAGGAUUACCCGCUGAACUUAA